RNAcentral lists this ribosomal RNA (515 nucleotides) under uncultured bacterium. Its description in RNAcentral is "bacterial SSU rRNA". It matches the Rfam family "Bacterial small subunit ribosomal RNA", at positions 28 to 526 of the family's 1533-position model. The record is from RNAcentral.
GACGAACGCUGGCGGCGUGCCUAAUACAUGCAAGUCGAGCGGACUUGCUGGAGCUUGCUCCAGCAGGUUAGCGGCGGACGGGUGAGUAACACGUGGGCAACCUGCCUGUAAGACUGGGAUAACUCCGGGAAACCGGAGCUAAUACCGGAUAGUAUCUUGAACCGCAUGGUUCAAGUUGGAAAGACGGUUUCGGCUGUCACUUACAGAUGGGCCCGCGGCGCAUUAGCUAGUUGGUGAGGUAAUGGCUCACCAAGGCAACGAUGCGUAGCCGACCUGAGAGGGUGAUCGGCCACACUGGGACUGAGACACGGCCCAGACUCCUACGGGAGGCAGCAGUAGGGAAUCUUCCGCAAUGGACGAAAGUCUGACGGAGCAACGCCGCGUGAGUGAUGAAGGUUUUCGGAUCGUAAAACUCUGUUGUUAGGGAAGAACAAGUGCGAGAGUAACUGCUCGCACCUUGACGGUACCUAACCAGAAAGCCACGGCUAACUACGUGCCAGCCGCCGCAGUAACAC